Sycon ciliatum is the source of this 2788-nucleotide long non-coding RNA. RefSeq lists it as uncharacterized. The record is from RefSeq and is a predicted model, not a curated record. The transcript is spliced from 5 exons. NCBI's taxonomy places the organism in Eukaryota, Metazoa, Porifera, Calcarea, Leucosolenida, Sycettidae.
CCAAAGGCAGUGUGGCAAGGGUAUAAAGCACCAUAGAAAGGGGAUCGCCCUGUGUAAUGCCCUCUUGCGAGGUCAACUCACCACCGACCGCCACAAACAGCCGCGCUGACUGACCGUAUGAAUUACGCAUAAUAAUCGCUAACGAUGGAACUAAUAGUCGAACAUUAUAGAAGUGCAGCAGCUCUGUCAAGGCUGUUUUAAAAAUGCAUUGUGCGCGGCCACUGGCAGAAUGCCUUCUGUAGACUGUUCAUCGUAGAUGGCCUGCAUUCGGUGAACUGCCGCCUCGAUUCUCGAAUCACACGACACAUGAUGCGAGGUCGCUGCAUGCAGUUUGUGUUGCGCAAUCUACAUUGUAGCUGCAGCCUGCACGUGUACAUAAGCUCCUGCCAUGUACUACUACUAGUUGCUAACUUUGGAUGCUAUUUUACACGGUGUACAUCAUGUGUAUUGCAUUGGUCGAUUUUCGAAGCGGCCUAGUAAACGUUUUUAUUUUUCGGUCAUUUUUUUAAUUUUUUUCCACCUCUUGCAUACGAUUUUAGAUUUUCGGUUGACGAGAAACAGAGAAGAAAUAAAAUGCGCGGCCUUAUAACUAACUACUUAUAAGAGUAAUCGGCUAUAGCAACCUUUCACACUCACUUGUAGCAUGUUUCGUGCCCUUCAAUUCUUUUGCUUGUACAAUUGGGAAAGGGUUUGCUCGAUCCCCACAUUGGAGCUCGCGCUAUUCUGCCGACUUGACUUGACACUUGACUGACUCACGACUGCCAUCUAGAGCACACGAGAACUAGAAGUCCACUGAACCUUCGACUCGACAAACCUGCAAGAAAGCACCACUCCCUGCUCAAAUACAAAGUGUUACGGGGAAUUCACCCCUCAUCAGUUGAACUUGAGUAGGCUGAGGAAGACUGUGCCUGAAGCCUGGAGGCUGUAGAGCAUCACUUAUACAUGUACUAAUGCUCUCCAGGUCCAAACAUCACCAGGGAUACAAACUUACGGAGACGCUCCGUUUCCAGCGCGAUAAACCAUGAUAAACACCUCGUGAACACGGCGUUACGUGGUCGUUGCAUUUCUCGCCUGCCGAGCGCGCUGCAGCGAGAUACUAUUAGUAUUACUACUAGUAUUAGGCGAGAAAUGAUUCCUCGUGCAACAUUUUCGGUUGCAAAUGUGGCAUCAGGUGUGUUCUUUCCCGUCGUUUCUUUUCCUGGCUUCUUCACUUCAGUCAGUUUUGAGUCUCAUGAUGCACCAGUGUGGACCGGUUUUUUCCAUCUCCGUAGGAUUUACCUUGAACGAACUCCUUUGUCGGGACUCGGGAUGCCUCAAACAUGAAACUCUUCUUCCUCACAACAAUCAUCGCCGGAGUCGCUCGGUUUCCAUGGCACCCAGUGCCAGCGCCGUGUUCUCCAAGGUCGUCACUUCACAACAACCGAAGUUCAACUACACACUACACAGUCUACAGACUGUACACUAUAACUGUCAAGUGCUCGCAGACCGGGUCCUCAUUCCUCAGACUGGUUUGGUUUGAUUUGGUUUGGUCUUUAUUAUUUCAGUUCGUAGACUCUUAGUCUUUAGACUUUAGUCAUUGGCUACGGUGUUUUCCGGAACAGAGUCACAAGUGAGUAGAGCCAAGUAAGUUGUAGUCUAGAGGCGCCGACUACUACUACUACUACAUGUAGAGAGCGCGCGCUAGUGACUUUUAAGUACUACAUUACAAGAUGGCGAGAUGCGUAUCAUGUCAGUUGUGAAAAAGUUGUGGACGCACGGUAAGUGUUGAACAUGGCGGAGUGGCCAGCGUGAACUCAACCUGGUUUACGUUGAGAAGCGGUAAGGUUAGGAGCCAGAUUCUCGCGAUUAGCUGCAGACUUCUAUCAACAUGUUCGUGUACCGGCGCCAUUGCAUAGGAGAUAAGCGGAGGGAUCAAGUUGCAGCGAGGACGGCAAAGAACUCGAUUAGCUGCAGACUUCUAUCAACAUGUUCGUGUACCGGCGCCAUUGUAUAGGAGAGAAGCGGAGGGAUCAAGUUGCAGCGAGGACGGCAAUGAGAAGCAAACGGCAAAGAACUCGAUUAGCUGCAGACUUCUAUCAACAUGUUCGUGUACCGGCGCCAUUGUAUAGGAGAGAAGCGGAGGGAUCAAGUUGCAGCGAGGACGGCAAUGAGAAGCAAACGGCAAAGAACUCGAUUAGCUGCAGACUUCUAUCAACAUGUUUGUGUACCAAGCUGGAAACUGGCCACCUCCACCCCCUCGUAUCAGUUCUCGUGCACACACGCCCGGCUCAUCGGAUUUAUUGGAGCUGCGCUCGCCUCCAUCCGUCCCUGCCUCACUCGGCACGCCUCGCCCCAAUGCAAUGUUUCUGCUGGUACCUUGCAAAGCCUGCAACAAUCAGCCGCCUUGACACGAUAACACUUCUCUGUCACGCGUUCGUUUCCUUUCAGUUUCUUUCUGUCUCUGACACGAUAAUACUCUUCUGUCAUGCGUACAUUUCCUCUUUUCCUUCUUUCUGCCUCCACCAUGCUCUCCACCUUUGUCACACCCCUCUGACACGUUAACCCCCCUCUGUCAUGCAUCUCUCUGUCCGCUUCCUGCUUUUGGUUCGGCCUUUGUUUCCACGUUAUUAACAAAUUUCAUGCUCGCUCUCGCUUGUACAUGCCGCGCUUCCUUUCUCUUCUCUUCUUUUUGUUUAUCGUGCUUCGCUCCUCCCGACCUCACCACUGGCGGGGGAUUGCUGUAGCGGCCUGACUCCCGACUGUUACGUCACGCUACAUGAUAAGCAUGCACAAAAAAUAAAAUCUUUCU